CAGACCUCCAAGACCUGGUUAGCUGCACCCAAUGGUACUAAAGGAACUCGCGGAUGUAAUCUCAAAGCCUCUGUCUAUAGUAUUUGGGAUUUCAUGGAAAAUAGGUAUGGUCCCUGCAGACUGGAGGUGGGCAAAUAUCCCUAUCUUCAAAAAGGAAGUUGGCAGAAGACCCAAGUAACUACUGGCCGGUAAGCUUGACAUCAAUACCAGGAAAGGUCUUAGAACACAGAGCUAAACAGUGAGUCUGUGAGCACUUAGAAAAGGAUGCUUUGAUUACUAAGACCCUGCAUGGGUUUCUCAUGCCUGAUAAAUCUCCUUUCUUUCUUUCUUUCUUUCUUUCUUUCUUUUGAGAGAGUGAGUGAGUUACAAGCUUGAUGGAUCAGGGAAAUGCUGUGCAUGUAGUUUAUCUUGAUUUCAGUGAGGCUUUUUUUAACAAAAUCCCCCAUGAUAUUCUUGUGGGGAAGCUGGUGAAAUGUGGGCUGGAUGAGAUAGGUGGAUUUAUAGAUAGUUGACUGACCAAACUAACAAGUGCCUUGUCAUCCUAGAAGAAAGUGACAAGUGGGGUGCUGCAAGGUUUUGUCCUGGGUCUGUUUUUGUUCAACAUAUUUAUAAAUUACUUGGAUCAAGGAAUUUAGGAGAUGCUAAUCACAUUGGCAGGGUAGCCAGUACAGCAGAAGACAGAAUCAAGAUUCAGGAUGAUCUUAACAGAUUGGAGAACUGGACCCAAACUAACAAAAUGAAUUUCAAUAUGCACAAACGUUACGUUCUGCACUUAGGCAGGAAAAAAUAUAAGCUGACUUGCCAGUAGUACAUGUGCAAAGGAUCUAGGGGUCUUGGUGGACCCCAAGUUUAACAUGAGUCAGGAGUGUGAUGCAGCAUCGAAAAAGCUAAUGCUAUUCUAGGCUGCAUCAACAGGUGUAUAGUGUCCUGAUAUGGUCAGAGAGAUUCUUCAAAAAGAAUUAAACUAAAAAUAUUUCUUUUCUUCAUUGAAUUAAUGAUAAGACUUUGUCUGGAACAUCUAUUUCAGAUUCCAAUUUAUUGCAUGCUGCAUCCUCUUACAAUAAAAAGCCCUGGUAGUGUGUCCCCUAGGACUGUAACAUAUACAAUGAAAAUGUAAAACUUCUAUUUCUAAGUGAAAUUCCUUGUGUUUAUUUUCUUUUUAUAGCAAGUAAUUCUUAUACCCUGGAGGAAUGGUCUGAGAACUAUAUUGACAGUACCAAAGUUUAACUCUGGCAAAGCAUAGUACAAACACACAGAGUCAUUCUUUGUAUAAUCAGACUCCUGGAAAAGAGUAGUCCAAAGAUACUAACAUGAACUUACCUGUUUUCAGAGAUAUAAAUAUCUGCAGUGUUUCUAGAGUUGUUCAUACUUUCAACAGAUUCAUAGUGUUAGCAAUGAUGUGUUAAAAUUAAGCCCCUUUCAAGUGCUUAGAAAUUAAUACAAUGAAUAUGCAUGUUGUUGUUGGCAUCCAUGUGUCUUGAAAGACAAUGGAGUCAAACCACUGCCUUAGCAGCACUGAAGUGACCUCCCUGGGGUGCAAGCCUGGGUGGUAUGUAUAGAGAUCACGGACUGCCCAGAUGAUGGGAAUCUCCUCUUGGCCUCACUGAUAUGAUCCAAAGGAAAGGACAGCAAUACAUUUGGCACUAGUUUUAACUGGAGGAGGUGCCAGCAGGAGGCAUUCAAGGCAGCAUCCAACUUUUUAAGGGAUUCCUCUCUGGAUUUGUGUAGGGUUUACUCAUCAGCGUUUAAUUCUUCCAAAGAUAUCGCACAAGCCAGCGGAGGUUUAGGAUCAGAGUUUUCCUUUUCCGAGAUGGGCUACCUUCCCUCACUUCCCUCUACAGCACAUGCAGAAACCACCUUCUUGACUGUUGGACUCACUAUUGGUCUUGUCCACACAAUCUGCUUGAGCCUGUCUUCACAUGCAAGUGAAGUCCCUAACUCACUGAGGGUUUGAGACUCAUUGGCUACCCUCACCUGGUUUAGCCAGCCAGUUGAAGGCAUUCCUGGAGUGUGGCUGCUGUCGCAUGCUGACACAGGUGAGAGCUGAGUUCAGGGUGGACACACUGUCCCAGAAGGAGCAUGAACUUUUCGAAGGCCAGAGAAUAGUGACUCCUGGUCUAGAGAGAAGGCCUUUGUGUAGAGGCCUUUCUUUACAUGAUCAGGCACCUUUAAACUCAGGGUUUUCAGACAAAUGUAAUGAACCCCCACACCCACAGCAAUACAUGGAGAACUUUCUAAAAGUGUUCUGAUAAACUGAUAUAGAGGCAGAGUCUGCUGUUGCAAUGUCACCACCCUAGACAUGCAUUCCCUGUAACUAUUGUUGAUGCCUAGAAAAGCUCUUAAAUUGUUUUUCACAGGUUUAUCCACUCAGGAUAAAGCUACAUGCAUACUUAUUUUUAAGUAAGCCUCUUUGGACUUAAUGGGGCUUUGUUCUGUGUAAAUAUCCCUAAGACUUCGUCACAAGUUAUUGUGUGUAAAUUGUUGUAUUUCCUUGCCAUUUGAAGUGGAUACUGUUCUAAGAAAUGUCAGUCACAUUGUGAGAAAAUGUACUGGAGUUUCAAAUUUAAAAGAAGGAGUAAUAUUUAUGCAAUAGUAGAAAUGCAAAUCUGCAGAUCUGUAUGCUGGCUUACGGAAACAGGCGUUCCUUUGUUUGAAAACAAGAUGUAAUUUAUUUAUUUUAAAAUAGGUUUCACCUAGCCACUAUGCUACAUCAGCUUUGAAAGUGUAUAAGUUAUAGAUCAAGAAGUCUCAGAUUUGAAUGUCACUAAGGUGCUCCUAGGCAAGCCUCAGUCCCCCAUCCGUAAUAUAAGAAUAAUAGUACAGAUCAACCGUACAAGAUUACUGUAAAGAAUGCAAGAUUUUUUUCUCUUGUAUAUGGUGUCAUUUGUAUAUCCAUGUUUGUUAUUAUGUAGGGUUUUUAUGUGGUGAAAUAUUAAGUAUAGAGAGACCUGGCUGCAUUUCUUAAAAAUUGCAUUUUACAGGGCAAGUAUUUUUUAAAGCAUUCAUCCUUCAAAUAAAACAAUACUGUCAUCAUCAAGGGGUUGCAAAGAACCUGUCUUUUCCAUUGCACAACUGUAUCGUUGAUACCCCCCUGUGCAUCGUGAAGCGUCAUAGUUGAGAGAGGGAGUAAGCAUGUUAAUGGUGAAGGUUUAGGCAGUUUUUUUUGUCUGUGCUAAUUUUUCUGUUUGAACAAAUUCGUGGUUUCAAUGAUGGUUUGAUUUCCUCCACACGGUUGCCUGUGGGGCAAACAGCUGUUUUGUAUUAGAAAAACAACAUGCUUUGAAUGAACUGAAAUGUUGCCUGGAAUUUUGAAUAGGUGCUGUAAUCACAAAGGGACUGGUUCCACCCCCUCCCUGUUGGAUUGUGUGAAGCUGAACAGUAGAGAAGGGAGAGAGGGAAGGGUGCAGGUCUGGGAUCAGUUUACUCACAGUCUACUCAGAAGUAAGUAUUUUUAAGUUCAGUGGGGUUUAUUGCCAGAUAAGUGGGGUUAGGGUUACAGCUAAAAUGGAUUAAGGAGCAGAGCAAGGAAGGAAUGAAGUGCCAUGGGAAAGAAAGAUGUGGUGAAGGCAAAUGACAAUGUUAGCUAUGGCAGUAACUCAGCUACAGCCCACACUUUUGGCCCUGUUGUAUAAAAAUGUCUACCUUUUAGGAAUAUCUUGUUCAUUAAUGUGCAACAUCCAAAUUUAUUAUUGUAGGCAGAGCUACUUAUUGGAUUGUUCCUUUAAGUAUGUAGCACACAUAUGGUAAAAAACGCUCAUAAUUUUCUUUUCUUUUUGCGAAAGCACAUUUAGCUUUUCAAAGGAUCUUUUUAGGAUAGAAAUUGUUUUCUUCAUGUCACUUAUUGUUAAUAACCACUAGGGGUCAUUGUAGCUUGAUUGUCAUUCAUAAAUGCACAGUCUCUGUCAGAAGAAUUCCUUUGUAAUAGGACACUUGGGAAUGGGUAUAAGGAGGAAUCUUAUUAUGAAAGGAAUGGAUGUUGAUUAUUUCGCUAGAGUUCAACAUUCUUUUUUUGAUGAAAUUUACUGAAUGCAUUUGGAUGGUAGCAGAUCCAAUAGGCAAAGGAUGACUUAAAGCAGUGUGCAAUGGUCUGUCGUUGAUAUUUCUUCUGAACUUGAAUGUUUCAGAAUUAAGUUUGCUUACUGGAAUGUUAAGCAGAAAUAAAUGUUUAAGUUUGUAACCAAUACAGAUAUGUUUUAUUUUAAAGCAAAAAAAUAUUAUGUGACUUUUAUAAUCCUUGACCAUCUAUGGGGGUAAAAAGAAAUGCCAGUAGACGGGAAAAGCAACUUGAGGGAAAGAAGGUGAUUUGGAAUGGGCAGGCUGGCAUUGGAGAGAGCAUUAAUCACAUACACACCCAGACUUCUCCUGUUCAAAUGUCCUUGAUCCUGGAGCUGCUUUUCUUACAAAUGCAGUACCAUUGGUACCAUCAUAGGCAUCACAUGCAGUUUGCCCGCUUUUUAAAUUGAACUUUUGAUUCUGGGGUUUUUUUUGGGGGGGGGGGGUCUUCUGAAAAAUGUAGACCCAAGCAUUAAAAUACUGGCUCUUGAUCCAAAACAUUCUGUUAGCUUUGACAAAUGGAAGCCAUCUAUCCAUUUUAGACUGGAAUGAUUAUGAAAAAGGACUUUGGAUAACUUAAAAGCUUCAAAAUUCAAAGAGCUGUAGAAAGUGAUUAAGUGGUGGUGUGGGUGGAGAGAGUUUGCUUUCUCAUAUUCAACAAUAAGCUUUGAUUUGAUAAUGCCCCCCACCAAAUUUGUAGGCUACUAAUUCAAACCAGAUAUUGCAGGUCUUCAUAUGAUGCAAGCAAAACAGAGAUGGGUGGCAUCUGUACAAUAUCAUUGCAUACCAUCCCCAAUUGCCAGAUGCUUAAUUUAGUGUUCCUGUUUUCUUUUGGAAAAUUAGGAACAGCUGAGACUGAGGUGUCUUUAGGAUAUAUUAUUUAUUUAGACAUAUAUACACUCUGAACGUACAAUGGAGAGAUUCACAGCAUCAGCACUCCAAGAGGGUCUUGACUCUUCCAUAGGCACAGCCUUCGAUCUAAACAGACACCAACUAUUGUUCUCUGCUUGUUGCUUCCCUCUGCUAAAACUGCUCACCUUCCCAGGGGGGCAGAGUUGCAAGCUGGCCACCUGAAGGCACGUUCUUUCACCUUUGGUGGACAUGCCCAAGGAUUAAGACAUUCUGGGAGAUGAUUUAUAAUGAAAUGAAAAAGGUAUUUAAAUAUACCUUUCUGAAGAAACCAGAGGCCUUUCUCCUGGGCAUGGUCAGCCAAUUGGUGCCAAAGAAGGAUAGAACUUUUUUUAUGUAUGCUACAACAGCAGCAAGAAUACUCAUCGCGAAGUAUUGGAAGACACAAGAUCUACCCACCCGGGAAGAAUGGCAGAUGAAGUUGAUGGACUACAUGGAAUUGGCGGAAAUGACUGGCAGAAUCCGAGACCAGGGAGAAGAGUCAGUGGAAGAAGAUUGGAAAAAGUUUAAAGACUAUUGACAGAACUAUUGUAAAAUUAAUGAAUGUUAGAAAAAUGUUGGAAUGAAGUUAUAUGGCUUCAGUAGAAAUGUUAUAAGGAAUUAAGUAU
Non-coding RNA from Podarcis lilfordi (Lilford's wall lizard), 5570 nucleotides. NCBI's taxonomy places the organism in Eukaryota, Metazoa, Chordata, Lepidosauria, Squamata, Lacertidae. The record is from the annotation of a GenBank genome assembly.